RNAcentral lists this ribosomal RNA (305 nucleotides) under uncultured bacterium. Its description in RNAcentral is "partial 16S ribosomal RNA". It matches the Rfam family "Bacterial small subunit ribosomal RNA", at positions 508 to 807 of the family's 1533-position model. The record is from RNAcentral.
ACAGCAGCCGCCACGGGAAUACGAAGGGGGCUAGCGUUGUUCGGAAUUACUGGGCGUAAAGCGCACGUAGGCGGAUCGAUCAGUCAGGGGUGAAAUCCCAGGGCUCAACCCUGGAACUGCCUUUGAUACUGUCGACCUGGAGUAUGGAAGAGGUGAGUGGAAUUCCGAGUGUAGAGGUGAAAUUCGUAGAUAUUCGGAGGAACACCAGUGGCGAAGGCGGCUCACUGGUCCAUUACUGACGCUGAGGUGCGAAAGCGUGGGGAGCAAACAGGAUUAGAGACCCCGGUAGUCCCUGUCUCUUAUAC